CCCUUAGAUGUUCUGGGCUGCACGCGCGCUACACUGAUGCGAUCAACAAGUUUUUCCUAUGUCGAGAGACACGGGUAAUCUUUUGAACUCGCAUCGUGUUGGGGAUAGAUUAUUGUAAUUAUUAAUCUUCAACGAGGAAUUCCUAGUAGGUGCAAAUCAUCAGUUUGCAUCGAUUACGUCCCUGCCCUUUGUACACACCGCCCGUCGCUGCUACCGAUUGGUUGAUCUGGUGAAUUAUUCGGACUGCCGGCUGAAGGGGUUUCCUCAUCUGCCAGCGGAAAGUCUUGUUAACCCUAUCAACUAGAGGAAGCAGAAGUCGUAACA
Molecule: ribosomal RNA, 324 nt
Filed under: uncultured eukaryote
Lineage: Eukaryota
Description: partial 18S ribosomal RNA
Rfam family: Eukaryotic small subunit ribosomal RNA
Source: RNAcentral